GGCUCAGAACGAACGCGGGCGGCGUGCCUAACACAUGCAAGUCGAACGUGAAAGUCCUUCGGGAUGAGUAAAGUGGCGCACGGGUGAGUAAUGCGUAGAUAAUCUGCCUGAUGAUCUGGGAUAACAUCUCGAAAGGGGUGCUAAUACCGGAUAAGCCCACGGGCUCUUCGGAGCUUGCGGGAAAAGGGGGGGACCUUCGGGCCUUCUGUCAUCAGAUGAGUCUACGUACCAUUAGCUAGUUGGUAGGGUAAAGGCCUACCAAGGCUACGAUGGUUAGCUGGUCUGAGAGGAUGAUCAGCCACACUGGAACUGAGACACGGUCCAGACUCCUACGGGAGGCAGCAGUGGGGAAUUUUGCGCAAUGGGGGAAACCCUGACGCAGCAACGCCGCGUGAGUGAUGAAGGCCUUCGGGUCGUAAAGCUCUGUCAGAGGGAAAGAAAUGUGGGGCGCUAAUACCGCUACCACUUGACGGUACCCUCAAAGGAAGCACCGGCUAACUCCGUGCCAGCAGCCGCGGUAAUACGGAGGGUGCGAGCGUUGUUCGGAAUUAUUGGGCGUAAAGCGCGUGUAGGCGGUUUUAUAAGUCUGAUGUGAAAGCCCUGGGCUCAACCUGGGAAGUGCAUUGGAUACUGUAAGACUUGAGUACGGGAGAGGGCAGUGGAAUUCCUAGUGUAGGAGUGAAAUCCGUAGAUAUUAGGAGGAACACCGGUGGCGAAGGCGGCUGCCUGGACCGAUACUGACGCUGAGACGCGAAAGCGUGGGUAGCAAACAGGAUUAGAUACCCUGGUAGUCCACGCCGUAAACGAUGAGUACUAGGUGUUGCGGGUAUUGACCCCUGCAGUGCCGCAGCUAACGCAUUAAGUACUCCGCCUGGGAAGUAC
RNAcentral lists this ribosomal RNA (882 nucleotides) under uncultured bacterium. RNAcentral describes it as "bacterial SSU rRNA". It matches the Rfam family "Bacterial small subunit ribosomal RNA", at positions 21 to 883 of the family's 1533-position model. The record is from RNAcentral.